Molecule: long non-coding RNA, 1164 nt
Organism: Micropterus dolomieu (smallmouth bass)
Lineage: Eukaryota; Metazoa; Chordata; Actinopteri; Centrarchiformes; Centrarchidae
Exons: 2
Source: RefSeq, a predicted model, not a curated record
UGGAUUAAGUAGGCCUACAUAAUCAGCCCUUCUCGAGGACCCCCUUUCAGCUGGAGGCUUUAGGCAGUUGAACUUCUUCUCUGGUUGCGACGGCUCUGCUUGUUUCUCCAGAUUCUGCGUUCAGAUAUGUGUUGAUAGAGAUUCCUGACGGACUGAAGUGGUUUUGGGAGAUUUCAGGUCUCUACAGUUUGUGUUUAAUGGGAGCUGAUGUCUGUCCAUGUGUUUGAUCAGAUCCAACAGGUCUUCUCAUCAAAGUGGUCGUCCUGCCGCUGACUCUGCUGUUGGUGAUCGCUGCCCUUUGUUUCUACCGUAAGGCCAGCAGGGGGCAGAAGCCGGGCAGGCAGGAGGACAUCGAGCUGGAUUAUUAUAACCCGGGUGUUUCUGCAGCUGAAGAGGAAGGAGCUCAGGGAGCAGAGUAGGACCUCCAAGGAGCUCAUCUCAGCUGCCUCACAACCCACCAUCAGCUCAGUCCAGGAUUUUACUCUUUUCUAGUGAUGGAUAAGCCUCUGGUUCUGGUUCUUGGGGGGCCUUCACAGACACAGUUUGACUGCCUGACACAUUUACAAGCCAUAUAGUAACAUGAUUUGCCUUUGCUUUCAGAGUGAUAAUGGUUAACUGCUGAGCUCAUAUUACAAAAGUAGAACAUUUGAAGAAAGAUGUUUAAUUUGAGAUACUGUCUUUAUUUCUUUAAUAAGUCCUGUAUCUCUGCAUCUCUUGUGCCGGACCUCAUCUUUGCCUCUAGAAACCUUUGUCUGGGUACGGACAGAGAUGUCUCAAGUCUCAAAAUAACGCUAGUUUCCAGUACAGAGGAAGCUAAGGUCCACUCUUUUGCUGUAAAUUAAACCAAAAGCUAAAGCGUCCCUGACGACGCAUUUGUGUAUCUAGCGCACAUGAGGGGAGGUGUGAAAAAAGGUGCGAUGCAGAGGGGAAGGUCAAGAGUUUUACUUUUUACGCUUCUAUCAUUUUUAGUCAACGUUAAGACUUGUCUUCUGUAAGGACGUCUCAUGUAUGCAUUCCCUGAUGACGUCAAGAUAAUCAUUUUAAUCAGGAAAGAAGGCACUAUUUGCCUAAACGUCAGCAGCCACUGUGAAAAUGAAAGCAACAUCAUUUUGAGAUUAAAGAACAGAAGGAAGGUUUUUCUUUCAAAAAGAUGGUGACAACCCA